AGGUCAGAAUGAUGGUUCAGAAGCAGGUUCUCCCCUUCUCUGAUUCCUCUCCCCACCCACUUACUCACCCACAGAGUGGGCUUUUCACCCACUUCUCCCCACCUAUUUUCUCACUGUUGAGUUUUCCACCUACUUGCUGAAAGAGAGGAAAUAAGUGAACUUAUUAUAGACCUGGAGAGGUCAUAUGGGCCAGUCCCCUGCCUUCAUCAGUCAGCAGUAACUUCGAUUAGACUCUAAAUUCCUGGAAGGCAGGGCCCUCUUCUUGUUUGUCUUUACACUGUAAUUUCAUCAAUGUGGGAAACUCCCUGGUAUAAACAUGGUUGAUGCUUCAUUUUGUCUAAUGAAUAAAUGAAUGUCUAAAUAAUGAACCCAACCAUGUGUGGGCACAGGAGCAGCAAGGUGGGCAGAGGAAACAGUCUAAGGGAGCGAGCUACAUCACUCCCUACCUUUCUGCCUGGAAAAAGCUCUGCUCUUCUCUGAGAUUCAGGUUCCCUUCUGUAAACUGAGAGAGUUAGACCAGGUAUUCAUGAAGGUUCCUGUUCUAAAAUCUAUUCCAUGAGCCAUUAUCCCCACUUUACAGAUCUGAGAAUGGGACGGUGAUUUGGUGAUUUGCUCAAGUUCUCGCAGAGACCGAGGAAGAGGAACCCUGGUCCCCGACACCCGCCUAGUGCCUUUGCCAUUGGAUCAGAAGAGCUCCCUGCUUUCCUUCAUUCAACUCAUGAGCAUCUAUUAAGCACCUACUAUGUACCAGACACUGUUAGAAGCUGGAGAACCAGGCAAAAAUGAGUCCGUUUGCCCUGGAGGAAUUUACAUUCUAUUGUUAAAACAGGGGGCUUUCAUCUUGUGUGAUGGAGAGGCGGUAGACACAAGAAGCAAAGGGACCCAGAAGUCUCUGGACAUGGACAAAGUAGGAAUUGAUUUUUCUUGACUAUGUAUAUCUGUUACAAAGGUUUUGUUCUUUUUUCAGUUUCAUGAAUUAAUGAGGGUUUGUUAUUUAGACACUCAUUUAGUCAUUCAACAAAAGUUUAUUAAGCACCUUCCGUACCUACAUCAGGGCAUCUCUCACACUGCUAGUAUCUUCCUUCCUUUGGGGAAGGAGCAGAGAGAAAAAUUUAUGCUUGUUAAUUGAAAAAAAAAAAAGGAGAGGAAUAAAAUAAAAUAAGGGGAUUGGACUGGACGGCUCUUGAUCUGCGGUUUUAUGAAUGAAUGAUGAACUUGGAGGUGAGACCUGGGUGUGAGCUCAUGCCCUGGUGCUUCUCUAGAUCCAGGCUGGUUGUUUCUGCCCUCUGGUGAUUUUACUCCCCUCAAGCUCUGAAUGAGUCUGAAGGGCCCCUUUACUCUGAUGUUCCCUGCCUCCAGAAUCCUAUGGUCGAAUACCCCAGCAGCCAGGAGCCCAGAGAAAGGCCUCGGGACAUUCGUCUGUCCCUAAUGGACAAGAAUCAAGAGCAGGCAACGUGCUAGGGUCUCCCCCCAAGCCCUGGACUC
Long non-coding RNA from Antechinus flavipes (yellow-footed antechinus), 1485 nucleotides. RefSeq lists it as uncharacterized. NCBI's taxonomy places the organism in Eukaryota, Metazoa, Chordata, Mammalia, Dasyuromorphia, Dasyuridae. The record is from RefSeq and is a predicted model, not a curated record. The transcript is spliced from 3 exons.